RNAcentral lists this long non-coding RNA (5120 nucleotides) under Sus scrofa (pig). RNAcentral describes it as "lncRNA (ENSSSCG00050017247.1)". Lineage: Eukaryota; Metazoa; Chordata; Mammalia; Artiodactyla; Suidae. The record is from RNAcentral.
GUUAACGAAUCCGACUAGGAACCAUGAGGUUGAGGGUUCAGUCCCUGCCCUUGCUCAGUGGGUUAACGAUCCGGCGUUGCCGUGAGCUGUGGUGUAGGUUGCAGACGCGGCUCGGAUUCUGAGUUGCUGUGGCUCUGGCGUGGGCCGGUGGCUACAGUUCCGAUUCGACCCCUAGCCUGGGAACCUCCAUAUGCCAUAGAAGCGGCCCAAAGAAAUAGCAAAAAGACAAAAAAAUUAAAAAAUUAUAUAUACAUUUAAUGAUUUUUUUUUAACCUAUUUUCACAUUUCAUAUAAAUGUGCCAAGGCACUUAAAUGGAGAAAUGAAAGUGCUUUCAAAGAUGGUACUGGAACAAUUGGAUGUCCUAUGUAAAAAACAAACUUCAACCACUUAUAUAUAUAUCAUUUACAAAUAUUAAUUGAAAAUAGUAAUGUCCUUUGGAAAAAGAAAACUGAAAAACUGUUUAUAGCCUCAGACUUGUUGGUGUACUUCAUUAUGAAAGAAAAUGACUUCAGAUGGAAAUUCAUCAAUUUGUAAUACAUAUUUUUAAUAAAUCAAAAUACAUGUAGAUUUUAAGGCAGUCACUAAAAGGCCAGUUUUGAAGAAUAUAAAUUAUCAACCACAAAAUAAUAAACUAAAAUGUAGUAGAAGGCAAAAACUGACUAUAUUAAAACUUCUUAGAAAACACAUGAUAAGUUAUUUUCAAAGGAAACUAUAAAACUAAUUUCCUUAAAUGGAAUAGGGUAACUGCUUCCCUUCAAAUAAAAGGGAAAAAUGUUGAUUGGAUUUAAAACAUGAACCUAUUAAUAUGUUUAUUAUAGACAUAAAAAUAGUAGAAAGUUUAAAAUUAAAAGUAUGGAAGAGAUAUACCAUGCUAACAUUAAUUAAAUACAAAUGGUGUAGCCAGAUUAAGAUACUGAUGGUUCUAUUAGAUCAUGUUAUGUUACAACAACAAACUCUAAACCUCAGUGGGUUGCCUGCCAAAAGUGUAUUCCUUGUGCUUUCUAGGUGAAUCUCAAAGACCCAUAUCAAAAAGAGAGUCUGGACACAGCUUAAAUUGUCAAUUCAAAGCCUCAGCUCAGAUUGCAAUUUACUAGCCAGAAUUAUCCCAACUACAAUGGGAACUGGGAAAUGGGGUAUCCCAAAUAUAUGAGUCACUAAUAACUAAUACAUGGACACAAGGAAUGCAAACUGUAUCAUUCCUUAUUUAAAAAGUUCAAAAACAGACAAAAUAUAUAGUUAUAAAAUCAGUGUAGUGGGUGCUUUUGUGUUGAAGAAAGGGCUACAUGUGUUUCCACAUUGUGGUAAGUUAUUGAGUUUUACUUUGAUUGUUUUUGUUCCUUUUAUGUAUGUUAUAUUUCAGUAGAACUAUUAAAAGGAAAUAAUGAAAAACACCAAUGGUUCAGACUCACUGGGAAGGGAGAAUGGAAAAAAAGAGUUUUAGCAAAAGUAAAAGACUUGAUUUUGAAGAGGAGACAUUUUUCUUCUCUACCAUUUAAUAACAUUCUCUUUGGAAUGUAAAUAUCUAUAUUUAGCAGGAAUCUUUUUAGUCCCAUAUAACAGAAAUUCAACUGCAACUAGCUGAAUCACAAUGUGAAUUUUUGGUCUCACUAACAAAUCUAGAGAUUGCUCUGCAUUUCAUUUCUGUGAGAUGUUAGGAGCUCCAAUUCUUCUGUUAGCACUUUGUUGUUCAUUUCUGUCUCUCAGCCUUCACUGUGUAUGUGUUUCCUUUAUAACCCCCUACAGCAGAAAAGAUACAUUUUGGAAGAAUCAGAGAUAAGUGGUCUUUAUGGCACCUAUAUUCAAAGGAGAAAGUUAAUCUAUCCCAGAGCUUAUACAGAUUCCCUAAAAAGUACCCAUGUGCUCAACGUACCUGAAACACAUGUCUUAGAGAAGAAUGUGUUUCUCUAAUUAAAAGGAGAGAGGUAUACCCAAUUACAAUUCCCACAUAACCACCACUGUAACCUGAUUCUUAUUUGAUAAACCAAGCUUCUUGAAAGAUUUCAUGGUUCCUUCUGUCAAUAUGCCUUUAUCACCAGUUCUGUCCUCACCUCAGGUGCUCUGACUUGCUCCUCAUGAUGUAUGUCCUCUUAGGUACCUCACUGUCAAAACUCCUGGUAUAUGAAUUCAGAGGCACUUUAUUGUUUACUGUAUAAGUUUGAGUCUUCUACCUUUGUUUUUCUAAAUAAAAAUUAUUUCUUUUGCUUUCCUGGCUAUUUGUUCCCAUUUAGCCUCAUGAGUUUGUAGUCACUUUUCAGCUCUAUAGAUCCUGCCUUUGGUUAAAAGCAAAUGUUCAACACCCUCAGGAUUAAAUCACAUUUGCUUUCCUUGAACCCUAAUCAAGCAGACCCUUGUGUCUGCAAUUACUUAUCACUUGGUAUCAAUCAUAUUAUUCCAAUUUGUUCUUAAAAUAUAGAUCAGGUAUAUUCUUCUGAGUCAAGCUCAGCAAAGAACUUCUGGAGCAUUUUGAUAUGACCCUAAUAUAACAUACGUAUCACUACUUUUUUGUCUCUUUUAGUUGCACAAAAAUUACCUUAGCCUAGGUUCUCUCCAUUUCUGUGUCAGGACCCUGGUGAAGAGUAGGUACUCUGUAGCUGUAGCAAGAUGGGAAGGUGGGAAAUUAAGAGUGAACUUCUGCUUGACAGACCCAAUUUCCUCUGUGAAAUAGGGAGCUCAGUGAUCCAUUGAUAGAAAUGUCUACAGUGAUGGGGUGGAGUGUUUGACCAGAGUUAGGACUUUUGAAGUGUUGAUAAGGAACAAAAUUUAUCCCUAAGAGACUCAGUGGACUCCUCUAGAGCUUCUAAUUCCCAGAUGCUAAUAAAUCUCAUAAAGGUGUGACCUCCUUCACUGAUGCUCACUUUUCUAAACGGACAGGACAAGGCAGAGAACUGGGUUGAUUAGAGACAGUGCCGAGUAGAGGGUGGGAUAAGAUAAAGAACAAUGCAGUCAGGAUGUUCUGAAAAGAGUCACUCUAGGGUAGCAGAUUUAGAGUUGGAUUGCUUAGAGAGAAAAACUAAAAUGGUGAAAGACAGAAAGAAAGGAGGGUAAAGACUGGAGAUAUUAAUGAAGUCAUAGAUGUAAGGAAAGAAAAAACUGGGUUUUUCCCUUUCAUUUACCAUUACAUUUUUUGGAAAAAUAAAGAUAUAUACUUUUCCAUUUGCCAUUUUCAAUUUGUGUUUAUAAAUUAAUACUGAAUUUUUCACUUGCCACUGUACUGAUUGUGUUGGCCGAGGGUUACCUAGAACUACAAGUUGAUAAAUCCAAAGGUCUUUCAAAAUUUUUCAUCACUCUCGCUACAGCAAAUAUCAGUAUUACUUCUUCCUUUGAAAGUUUUCUCUAUUCAUGCUUGAACCAGUUCACUAGAACUGGUUACAUUCCAGUUUCAAAGAAGCAUCACAUGACUAGUACUAGCCAAUCAGCAGAAUUCUAUCUUGUCAUAGAAGUUACUCCAGGGAAGAUAAUUUGUGUCAAGUUCACAGAAAUAUAUGAAUUUUAGGCAUUGCUCUGGACUUAUUUUAAAGAACUCUUUCCAGUGUGUCUGGGACAGAGCUACUUGUAGGGGUUUACAAAUAAGCCAAAUUUAUUAAACUUAUUAAAAAUACAGCAUGGAAUUCCCGUCGUGGCUCAGUGUUUAACAAAUCUGACUAGGAACCAUGAGGUUGUGGGCUCGAUCCCCGGCCUCACUCAGUGAGUUAAGGAUUCAGCGUUGCCAUGAGUUGUGGUGUAGGUCGCAGAUGUGGCUCGGAUCCAGCAUUGCUGUGGCUCUGGCGUAGGGCGGCAGCUAUAGCUCCAAUUGGACCCCUAGCCUGGGAACCUCCAUAUGCCGCAGGUGCAGCACUAGAAAAGACAAAAAAAUAAAUAAGUAAAUAAAAAAUAAAACAUUAAAAAAAUAAAAAUACAGCAGAGAGUUGUGUUAGAAACAUCAUAAUGAUGUUGUUUGAACGCUAACAUCAAAGGCUGCUAUUUGGACCAUAUAGUUAUGUGAGCCAAAUAUCUCAUUAGAAAUUUAAACUAGCUUAUGUGGAUGGAUCUCUUGUUACUUUCCACAGAGGGUAGUUAAGAUAUAGACAAUCUUAAAAAAUCACAGAUUUCAUGUUUCUCAAGUUUUCUCUUUUACACAUUUCUUAUAUGAAAACUACCAAGAACAAUUUACAUUAUUAAAUUUACAUUAUUAAUCACCCCAGUUCUUUCAGAAUUUUAAUUUUCACAUGUAUUCACACAAAUCUUCCAAUUUUGUACAGAAUGAAUAAUACAUUUUAGUUUGAAAACCAAGUUCGUCUCUUAUUUUUAAUUAAUUAAUCCAUUCACAAUUUUCAUCUCAUCUUUUACAAUAACGCUGUAGGAUUGCAAAAUAGAAUGUUUCCUGCUUUUCUUUUAUAAGUGGUAUUUCCUAGAAUAUAAAUGCUCUUUCUAUUUGGUACCAUCUCCUCUUUCAAGUAUUCGGUAAACAUUUAAUUCCCUGUAACAACAUUUUCCUUCCAUCUAAUUCUACCCAAUCCUUAGAUCGUCUUUAAAUAUUAUUGUCUUCAGAUUCCACAUGUCAGUGAAAGCAUUUGAUGUGGAAUCUGAAAAAAGGACAGACGGAACGUCUUUGCAGAACAGAUGCUGACUCACAGACAUUGAAAAACUUAGGGUCUCCGGAGGAGACGGUUUGGGGGGUGGGGGGAUGUGCUUGGGCUGUGGGAUGGAAAUCCUGUGAAAUCAGAUUGUUAUGAUCAUUAUACAACUACAGAUGUGAUAAAUUCAUUUGAGUAAUAAAAAAAUAAAAAAAAUUGUUAUCUUCAUAGCAAUUUUUUAUGAGAAGCUAAAAUAUGAGUAAUUUUAAGAUUAAUUAAAAACUCAUUGGACUUUGUUCAUUUUGGGGGAAAAUUUUAUUAUAAUGUUGGCAUUUUUCUUUCUUAUCUUCCUGGAAUGUUGAUACCUCUUGAGUACACUGUUUUUUCUUCUUAAUCUGUUGUUCGUUUGCACAUCAGUUAUAUUUAUUAAAACUUUCAUUGCAAGUAGAAUCCUUAACAGGUAAAGUGGAUUUCUUAAAACGUAUUUGGAUGAAUUUACUCAAUGGUUAUAAUUAAGGUGAUUUUAUUAGAUUGCUUUUCCUUUUUCUUACAAACAUAUUAUGCCA